RNAcentral lists this ribosomal RNA (467 nucleotides) under uncultured bacterium. RNAcentral describes it as "partial 16S ribosomal RNA". It matches the Rfam family "Bacterial small subunit ribosomal RNA", at positions 29 to 507 of the family's 1533-position model. The record is from RNAcentral.
ACGAACGCUGGCGGCGUGCUUAACACAUGCAAGUCGAACGGAAAGGCCCUGCUUUUGUGGGGUGCUCGAGUGGCGAACGGGUGAGUAACACGUGAGUAACCUGCCCUUGACUUUGGGAUAACUUCAGGAAACUGGGGCUAAUACCGGAUAGGAGCUCCUGCUGCAUGGUGGGGGUUGGAAAGUUUCGGCGGUUGGGGAUGGACUCGCGGCUUAUCAGCUUGUUGGUAGGGUAGUGGCUUACCAAGGCUUUGACGGGUAGCCGGCCUGAGAGGGUGACCGGCCACAUUGGGACUGAGAUACGGCCCAGACUCCUACGGGAGGCAGCAGUGGGGAAUAUUGCACAAUGGGCGGAAGCCUGAUGCAGCAACGCCGCGUGCGGGAUGACGGCCUUCGGGUUGUAAACCGCUUUCGCCUGUGACGAAGCGUGAGUGACGGUAAUGGGUAAAGAAGCACCGGCUAACUACGUG